UACUAGGUACUAACCCCGAGCCGCCGAGGGUGAGGGUAGAUCGUGUGGACGCAGACGCCUUCCAGAGUCGAGGUUCUUUUGAAUCCUGGAGCAAACGCGGAUUUCUGAGGAGCCGCGCAGGUUUGGCGCAGGGCCAGGGUAUCCGUGCGCCCUCGCUUUGAGCUGGGGGGUCGGGCACGCGGAGACUGGGACAGGAAGGUGAGCGACGUGAGGGGAAGCGUGGGAUGCUGACGCCGCCCCAUCAUAUGGGGGCCUUCGCGUUUACCAGCACCCGAGAAGGCCCGGUCACCCGCUAGGUUCUCACUGCGCUGGGCCGCUGCCCUCCCCUGUGCAGCAGAGCCUAUGUGGCAGGUGGGGGCGCCGAUGAGGCUCGGUGGGGACAUCUCCUUCCUCUUGGGCUCAGGAGGGUGCAGCCUAACUCGCCAGGAAGGAUUUUAUUGUGGUGUCAAAGCAGUGGCCACAAGCCACAGAGACCUUUAUUGAGCGCUGGCAGUGAUGCUCCUGCCUCUGAGAAACUCAUUUGCACACAUUAUUUGAUUUCACCUAAAUUUAAAUAUCUGCGUGCGGCUGGUGCCUGAGGCUCUUUCUUUCCCCAUGUGUAGUUUUACACAGUAAUAGACCAAAGCCCCGUUAAUAAUACUCAGCCAGUCUUCCUGUGCAACCUCUAAUCCUCUCCUCCAGGCACGCUGUCUCCUGCCCUAAUUACGCUGACCUCUCCCUCGGAGGAUUUUUUCGAGUCCCCGAAACAAAUCUUUCUUGAGCACCUACUUACUGUGUGUGAGAAAUGGCGACCCAAAGCUGCACUGGACGUCAGCCCCCUACAUGAGGGGAGGAAGGCCCCGCGGCUGUGUAUUUGAUCACACCAGUGUUUGGGGGCAAAGCCUGAAGCUUGAUGGAGACCCUUCGGCUCUUGGAUUACGGUGGACGGGUAGCUCAAGGCAGAGCUGAGAUUGGGGGCCAGAGGGAGAAGCCCAGGGUUGGACCCUCAAGGGUUCCACAGGCACCAGGUCUAAGGUGUGGCCAUUCAGCCUGUGUGUAGCUAUGGAUCCUGCAAGUUGCCCUCUGUGGAGCUCGGAGUGGGGGGGACAGAGAUGAUCAACAAGGAACACACAAGCAACAGCUUUGGGUUGGCGACUCGGAAACUACUGGAGAAAGCGGGGGAACAUGUCCACCCGUGCUCUGCUUCUGUACCAAAACGGGAGAGAGGCUGAAUGAAAGGGCUCAGAGAUGGAGGGAGGAGGCCAUGGCUCAGCCCAGGCCACCACCCUGGAGGCCAGUGGCUCUGGGAGCAGAACACCGAUGGUGCACCAGCCCAGGGUGCCAGCAUGAGGGUGGCAAUAGAAGCUCAUUGCACCCUGAAGUCCCUUCUCCCCACUUCCUGGUCAAGGAUUCUAAUGCUUGCCUGACUCAGUUUGGCAAGAGCUGUGGCCAGAGAAGGGGGCUUCCUAGUGACAGGAGGGAGGAUGGCUGUGCCCUCAGUCAGGGUCACUCAGCAAAGGCUAGAGGCAGUUUCCACCCUGCACCCAUUGCAUGAGCUCCCAGGGAGGGGCUCAAGGUAGGACGGAGGCUUCGAUGUCCCCUAGGCGCGCCCCUGACAGCCGAGGCCUCUGGUAUCUGGGAAUGAUGUGAGCGAGCUCAAGGGGAAAAAUAAUCUGCUUUCUGCAAAGUAUAAACCAAAGCAGAUUUAAUGAGUUCAGUUUCAUUUCAGCUGCUAAGAAUGCACACUAAAUAAGAGUAGCACAGAUGCAAUAAAAGUUUCUUUAUCUGUCAUGGGGACAUUCGCAGCAAACCCCGUAUGGCUGAUACAGGCUGUGUGUCUGUGUGAGUAGGUUGGUAUUUUCCUAUCAUAGCUUCAUGGUCCAAGCUGACAGCUAAGGCUCCUGCCAUGACAAAUACAUUCCAAGGAGCCUGAUACUGCAAGGACUGAGGGAGGAACAAAGAUCAGGUUGGCUUCAGAACCAGUGUAGCAGCACAUUUCUGUAAUCCCAGCACUCAGGAAGCUGAGGCAGGAGGAUUGCCUUGAGGCCAGCCUGAGCUACACAGGGAGUUCAAGGCCAGCUUUAACUACAUAGCAAGACCUUGUCUCAAACCCCUCACAUCUAAAGUUAUAUGGGCUUGAGAUAGUUUUUUUUUUUUUUUCCUUUUUUGCAGUACUGGGGAUGGAACCCUUGUGCAUGCUAGGUAAGAGCUUUGUCCCUGUUCUACUUCCCCUAGCCCUGACUUCAGAUUUCAUAACAUUGACAUUUGAGUUAAGAAAAAGUUCAAAUUGCUUAAAAAUAUCAAAGACCUGAGUGUAGUGAUGUACACCGUAAGGCAGGAGGAUUGCCACAAGUUCAAGGCCAGUCCGGGCUAUAUAGCGAGCUCCUGCUGGAAAAAAUACCAAAGAGGAAAAAAAAGUAAAGUGUCAAAGAAAAAUAGCUUCGAACCCAGAUUUGGAUUUCCAGAAAGGAGAUAAAACCAGAAAGGUUGUAAUUCAUAGCUCCUCUUUAAAAACACUUGGUGGGGAAGCACUCCACAAAGAAGAAAAUACACUAGCAGUGCCCAGCAACAAUGGCAGGGAAGAGGUGAAAUCAAGUGUCUAAAUCCACCACACUGGGCGGUGCUGGCCAGGCCCACCCCCAGCCCCACCCUGCCCCAGCCUCGUCCCUUUUAUGAGCAUAGAGUCGAGGUUAUGAUCUUGCCCAGGAAGUGGUGAGGAGGGGCAACCAGGUCUCCGCAGCUGGCUGGUGCCAGGGCAGUGGUGGAGAUGUGGAGACUGAGGCUAGGGCAAGGCUCAGUCGCCUGUCUGAAUUCACACAGGGGGAGAAGCCAGAAUGGCCAGCCUCUUCUGAUGCCAACCUGGCUACCUCCUGAAUGACAGAGGCGACCUUGGAGGUCCUGUGGGACUGCAGCUGAAAAAGACAGGCAGAGGAGCUUCUGCGACUCCCUGGGUCCCUGCACGUUCUUCAUGGAAGUAGGUGGAAAAGCUGGGUGUGGCAGCACACAUCCGUGAUCCCAGCAUUUGGGAGGCUGAGGCAGGAAGGUCACUAUGAAUUCGAGAGUAGCCUGGGCUACAUAGCAAGACUCUGUCUAAAAAAAAAAGCAAUAAAGUUGAUGGCAAAGUGA
Cavia porcellus (domestic guinea pig) is the source of this 3105-nucleotide long non-coding RNA. RefSeq lists it as uncharacterized. NCBI's taxonomy places the organism in Eukaryota, Metazoa, Chordata, Mammalia, Rodentia, Caviidae. The record is from RefSeq and is a predicted model, not a curated record. The transcript has 3 exons.